This 806-nucleotide long non-coding RNA is filed under the name Marmota monax (woodchuck). Lineage: Eukaryota; Metazoa; Chordata; Mammalia; Rodentia; Sciuridae. The record is from RNAcentral.
GUGAUCCUCAAGCAAUGCAUCCAAAUCAGGACCCAUAAAAAUCAGCCCAUAAUCACAUUUUCUUAGUGUCUUUUGCUUCAAUAAUAUGCUAAAGUCAUUAUAAAUCCUUUGUCUGAAAGAUAUAAUGACAAAUUUUCAUCCAGGCAACUUGGAUAAAAUAGGGAGCCAAAUACUACAUCUUCAAGAAGCCUUUUUCUAAUGAGAUUACUAUAAAAAUGACUUUCACUGCCCAGCAAAGAAAGAACUGAGGCAGUUUGCUACAGAAUUUAGAUGCACUUGGCCCAAAUUCAUCAAGAUACUAAGGAUUUAGGGGAAAGGAAAGAGUUCGCUUUCUUUGCCUGGGUAGUAGCUUCACCUUUCACCUUCCUUUGUUACUAGUUGUCAAGUUCUUAAAAAGCUCAAGUACUGAGGUAUAGAAGUAGCUUAUUGAGAAGUCUAUACUAUUGCCUUCCAAAAUUAACAUUUAUUAACCACGUCCUACACUACGUGCUAGAGAUUUUGCAUAUAUCAUCUCAUUUAAUUUUUAUACCACAUCCUCAGAAAAAUGUGUAUCAACCCUGAUUUUUCAGUUAAGGACACUUAUCUUUCAAAAUUCUAUAUACUGCCAAAGCAACAGGUCCAGUGGGUAACAACAGAUUUAAGCUCAGUUUCAGCCCAUAACACACACUAUUUUGUAUUGCAUGCAUCAAAAAGGAGUAUACAAAAACUUCUAGGAAACCUUUGUGUGAUAAAAUAUAAUGAGAAUGCUUUUACAGUGGUUAUGCAGGAGGAAUUUAUAUCUGUCAAGUGAAAUGUCAUGAAAUUAU